CGUUCAUGUAGGCAAAGGAUGUGCUGAGGGCAAUGAGCACCAGGCAGAUACUGCUGCCACCCUGUAGGACCUUUGCUCAGGGUGGGUCCCUGUUUUGCUGCUCUUGUCUUUGAAUUCAUACCUGAGGCUCCCUGCCUGGAAGAGCCUAAGUCUGUUUAUUUAACGUGGGGCUAAAACAGUUUAUUUGCACUUUUCAAUAUUAAAGGGAUUUGGGAGCAAUUGUCCACCUGUUUUUAAGUCUAAUGGCAAUUCUGUUUCACACUGUUAUCAUUUUUACCCUAUUUAUUAUCAUAACUGAAGAGGUGACUCCAGCUGGUCUUUGAUCUCGCAGCUGUUUGUUACCAUCUCCCAGCUAAGAGGCAGCUACCUGCCAUAUAAUCACUCUUAGUGUUUCUGAGAGUAAAGUCACACAAACUUAAAUUGCUGCUGAAGGUUUCCUUUUUUUUUUUUUUUUUCAUUUUGUCGUCACAGGUGCAAGGAGUGUUUGUACAGUUGUUCAUGCCUGUCAGCUGAGAGGAAAUAAACACCCUCUGGGAAACAGUUGGGAGCAGAUUUUAAACCUCUUUGCCACUGGCAUGGCCACGUGACUGCUCCAUAUCCUCAUCAUUGCAAGGAACCAAAUGUUUGACGUGCAUCAAGGCCAAGUAUGUGGUUAUUGACUUCAGAGCCUUUUGAAUUGGUGCUGCAAAUAACACCAUUAUCCCAAGUGGCCCAAGCAUCUCUUUUAUCUGCAUGCUUUCAGCAUUCAUCUACAUUCCUCUGAAAAUGCAAGUUUAGCUUUGCUCUCAUUUACUUCUGGAAGAAGGUGAGAUCACAAGGUAUUUAUUUAUAGAUAAAUAUAGAUAUUUAUAGCUAUAUUAACACAAAAUGUACCUUUCAUUUCACACAAAUAUUCAGAAGAGGAAGUGGAAUACUCUGCCAAACACACUAAAGUUUUUGCCAUUUAAUGGCAGUCUGAGAGAAGAAAAAUUUUAUUUUUUUAUUUCAUUUAAUUUUCAUCUGAUUUAGUUCUCAUCUGUGAUGGCUGAUUAUUUCAAAAUAAUUCUACUUCCAGGUCACGGAAUUUAUGAAUAAAAGAUGUUCAUGUGCACGGCCUAGGUCAGGUGUCACAACUCAGUGCAGAUACCCUCA
This is a non-coding RNA of Taeniopygia guttata (zebra finch), 1131 nucleotides long. The record is from RefSeq and is a predicted model, not a curated record. Lineage: Eukaryota; Metazoa; Chordata; Aves; Passeriformes; Estrildidae.